Solanum stenotomum is the source of this 480-nucleotide long non-coding RNA. RefSeq lists it as uncharacterized. The transcript has 3 exons. NCBI's taxonomy places the organism in Eukaryota, Viridiplantae, Streptophyta, Magnoliopsida, Solanales, Solanaceae. The record is from RefSeq and is a predicted model, not a curated record.
CAAAAAAUUGGACUUGAGAAUCAAGGAUAGAUAGACAAGAGAUACAUAAACGAUAUAUAUAUAUGUAUUUCUCACAAAAAAAUUGUGAGAUAAAGAGCAGAUGAUGAGAAAAUAAAAAAAGUCAAGCCUCGAAGCACAAGUGAGAUAGCGUUGGAACCAUAUGAUGUUCUACUCGAUUAUUCAAGCUUUGGAUUGAAAAUUGAAUCAUCCACACCAGUAAAAGGGCUAUAAAAGGUCGACUUCUUAGGAAGUAUCUUCCUUAUUUUUGUUACUUUUGGUGGUUGUUAAAGGAAACUUUUUAGUUGUUACUUUUGAUGACUGCAAACAAAACUUUUUGGGAUUAUCAUCUGGUACAACUACACUCAGUAAGGAGAACCAUCACAUGGAACUAACAAAGAUGUUAUUUAGCGUUUUUGCUGCUUAAUUUAGCCCAGAUUGCUCCCGUAUAGGCAGACCAUCACUUGAGGCUCUAGCAUCUGU